This 253-nucleotide ribosomal RNA is filed under the name uncultured bacterium. Its description in RNAcentral is "partial 16S ribosomal RNA". It matches the Rfam family "Bacterial small subunit ribosomal RNA", at positions 524 to 776 of the family's 1533-position model. The record is from RNAcentral.
UCCGGAGGGUGCAAUCGUUAUCCGGAAUCACUGGGUUUAAAGGGUGCGUAGGCGGCUUAGUAAGUCAGGAGUGAAAGCCUGCGGCUUAACCGUAGAAAUGCUUUUGAUACUGCUGAGCUUGAAUUAGGUUGAGGUUGGCGGAAUGUGACAUGUAGCGGUGAAAUGCAUAGAUAUGUCAUAGAACACCAAUUGCGAAGGCAGCUGACUAGACCUGAAUUGACGCUGAGGCACGAAAGCGUGGGGAGCGAACAGG